UAGGUACCAAAAAGUAGAUCAAAACUACAAGAUCUAGAUAGACAUGGAUCUGUGAAUAAAUGAAACAGAAUCAUUAAUUUGCCAGACAUUAAUGAUCCCUUAAAAUGAGAAGACAUGGGCAUUGCUUAUAAAAGCCUGCAACAGAGUUCAUUCCAGAAGAUACACUAAACUGACAACAGAAGUAUCGCCAUUUUUGUUCAAAUUGAAUGUUACUUGAUUCUCAAAUCCAAGAUUGGCAUGAUAUAAUCAUUCAAAACAAAAAAAAAAAAAGAAAAGAAAAGGAAAGGAAAACACUGCAUCCAUCCAACGUGAUUAACUUUAGUAUUCCUAUUAACCCCUCCCCUUUUUUAUCUGCUUUUUUAUUAAGUCGCAAUUUUUUCAGUGUGCCUCAUUUGAGAACUGUAAUCCAGUUGCUUGCUAACAUGGAAAGCUGCCAGCUUAACUUUCCUUCUCAAGCUCAACUUCCUCAGGAGGUAUCUCUCUCUCUUGUUCUCUCCAUAUCCAUCUAUGGGUUGCUCGUUCGCAUGCAAUAAUAAAUUAUGUAACAGCAAGUUCAGUUCUCAUAUUUCAAGCUGUGUCAACAUAUACUCCAUUGACAAUGGCUUAAUUAAUGACUGUUAGUGAAGUCCAGAACACUCAUAUUGACGUCUUUCAUCUUAAUUUCCUAUCUUUUAUCUCUUGCUCUCAGGAAACUGAGCUCCCAAAUCAAACUCCGGAGGUGGGUUAAUUGACUGACCUUUCCAACCAUUUUAAGGGCUCAGUCGAAUAGAAGCAGUAUGAACCAUAACCGGGGAUCCUUCAGAAUCUAGCUAAAUGAUGUUAUGAGGUUGCACUGUAUAUCGUGCAUAACAAGUAAAAUAUUUCUGAUCUAGGAGUGUUCCUGUGCUUUCAUAUAUAUGCUCCUUUUUGAGUCUCAUGAUAGACUUUUUCAAGGAUUAGAAAAUAUGUUCUUAAACUUGAUCAUGGCCUGCAUAACUCAAGGGGGAACAACUAGCAGGCCAUGUCUUGAUCUUACCAAUUAUUGUUCCAUGGCUUGCUGACCAAAUGGAAUGGAAGUAACUCUUCCUGUUUUUUAUCAUCAGUAGUGUUUCUCUCUGAAGUUUGAAGCACUAACAAGCAUGUACAAUUCCUGUAUAUUAGGAGAAAUUAUGAUGUUCACCGUUUACAAGUCUAAAGAUGACUAAUAAC
RNAcentral lists this unclassified non-coding RNA (1188 nucleotides) under Hevea brasiliensis (rubber tree). Lineage: Eukaryota; Viridiplantae; Streptophyta; Magnoliopsida; Malpighiales; Euphorbiaceae. The record is from RNAcentral.